RNAcentral lists this ribosomal RNA (370 nucleotides) under uncultured organism. Its description in RNAcentral is "bacterial SSU rRNA". It matches the Rfam family "Bacterial small subunit ribosomal RNA", at positions 526 to 896 of the family's 1533-position model. The record is from RNAcentral.
CGUAGGGUGCGAGCGUUAAUCGGAAUUACUGGGCGUAAAGCGUGCGCAGGCGGUUUUGUAAGACAGAUGUGAAAUCCCCGGGCUCAGCCUGGGACCUGCAUUUGUGACUGCAAGGCUAGAGUACGGUAGAGGGGGAUGGAAUUCCGCGUGUAGCAGUGAAAUGCGUAGAUAUGCGGAGGAACACCGAUGGCGAAGGCAAUCCCCUGGACCUGUACUGACGCUCAUGCACGAAAGCGUGGGGAGCAAACAGGAUUAGAUACCCUGGUAGUCCACGCCCUAAACGAUGUCAACUGGUUGUUGGGUCUUUACUGACUCAGUAACGAAGCUAACGCGUGAAGUUGACCGCCUGGGGAGUACGGCCGCAAGGUUG